CAUGCACACGGAGAUGAUGAUGACCACUGUGGCGAUGCUUGGGACCACUGGAACAAGGAAGGAAUCCACGUGACAUGGUGAACGGAAGGACUAGCUCAGUCUUGGGAUGGCGUGUGAAUGAAACAUCCAUGUCUUUUCUCCUGAUUAUCACAACAAUACACGCUCACUGUAGAGCCUUUUGCAUUUGCCACAAACUGAACAGGAACAAAGAGAAAUGGGCUCUUACGCUUCUUGGAGAACAGCACGGUUAGCAUUAGCCUUUUCUUCCUGGCAUUUUUCUGAGUAUGUGUCGGUACUCUGUAAUUUGCAUCUUGCCCUCUUUCGUCCACCAUUUGGUAAGUGCCCUCCCUCCAACAUCCUAACACAUGGGUAUACGGGCAGACCCCAAUUUGCCAAGUGGUUCAUUUCCCACCUGUUACUUAUCUGCGUUGUUUCCAGGUUGUUUGCUUUGCUAUUAGAAAUUCCCUGCUGUGGUGAAGAGCGCUGUUGUUCUCAAGCGUGACCUGACGCGACUGUGAGGACUGAAGGCUCCCACCCCACAACCCAGUGUGCAUCCGUACCUGUGGCCUUCGGCUCACCCGGGGUCUCCGCUUUGGCGAAGGUGCUCACGAUCUUGAUGUCGGGGAAGAGGGUCACCCCUCUGGCACUUUCAAACUGGGCGGCGGGUCUCCAGAGGCGGUCCGUGCCACGGAGGCUGAUCUGGGGCUCGAUGGCCUGCAGCACCAUCACAUAGGCAUCCACGUCGGGGACGCUGAUGCACACAUCUUCUCCAAAGCACCUGGGAAAACAGCUGCAGUCACGGCACUGACGAGCGAGUGAUAAAACCAUACAUCGCGCGGCUGUGGACAAGGAUCCACGCAGCCAUCUCUCGUUCUCAACAAGGUAUCCUGACUGCCUCAGAGUCUCUGACUGUGUCAACAGACAUUCAGAUUUAAAGCCACAUUAAAGUCAAAGCCAAUAGCAAUCUAGGGGCCUAGGAAGAUCGGCUUCUGGGAGAAAUGGGAAUCUUCGAUACCAGCAACAAGUAACUGUUAAACCUUUAAUUAUCCUUUAACAAAGUAAUCAGUGGCAACAUGAAUUAGAUAGCAACUGCUUCAGAUGUGCAUUAGGAUUUGGUAAGCAAAUUGUUGUCUAACUGGUCGAGGAGCGGCACCUUGCUGAGACCCCGGGGCUAAACUCUCCUGUGCUUUUGUGUGUUUUCUCUCUCUGAGGCCAUCUCACAGUGUCCCUGUUGCAGCUGUGGUGCUGCUGACCACAUUCCUUCCUCCUGAUGCACGGCCACAGAAAUAUCCAGAAGGCAGAAUGGUGUGACAACACAAGCAAGGCCUGGGAAGUUAGAUAAGGGUCCAUGGCCUGGCUCUGCCACCACUGGGCUGGGUGACUGUGGGCAAGGUACGACUCCUGUGAACCUCAGUUUCUCCAUCUAUACAAUGGUGAUGACAAUAAUUAAUUACCUUUUAGUAGGAAGGAUUCAAGGUGAUGACGUACAGAAAAGAGGCUGACCCCAGAACCUGCACCGUGGAGCUCAUGCAUCAUGUUGGCGGAUCCAACACCCUUAUCACACUCUGUCACUGGAACUCUAUCACUCAUCUAGGCAAAGACAGAGGCUAUAAUGGCGGCCCAGAUGGUUGCUCUGAGAACGCUGAGUUGACUCCAGCUGUGGCGGCCAUCAGCUUGUAUCUCUUGGGAAAGUUCCUGAGAGAAGUGCAGUCUGGGUGGACAUCAUGCUGAGCCACAUCUUCUUUGGGGUGGGCCAGAUGUGGGAGUGGUGGUUGUCUCCUGCUCCCGACUUUGGCCUUUGCUGCACCAACCCUGGAAGGUACCCUGUCCCUCAUCAGUUUAUGGAAACCUGGUCCCAGAGGUAGAGACUGGCCAGCCUAGUCCCUCUACUUGACUGCAGCUGACCCGGAGGUGCUUGCUCCCUGGUGCAGGCCUCCAAGGGUGGCCCUUAGUGUGAAGGUGGAUGCACCUUCUCUGUCACUACAACUAUUCAAUCUAAUUGCUGCCUAAUCUAAUGGCACCUAUCCCAGGGCCCAGUAAUGUGGCAGUCAGCAGCCUCAUUCUUCCCUGCCUUGUUCCUGGCCUUCUGGGUUCUUCUCCUGGCUCCAGGGGCUGGGUGACUCCACUCCCACCUCUCAGGAGUUUUUCUGGGGGUCCCCCCUUUGCUGCCCUCCCAGGCAGUUGCUGUGGCUGAGAGAUGACUUGACAGGCCAAGAAGGGAGGUAGCCACAGAUUUCACUAAUAAACGGUCGCAUCUCCUUAAUUGAACUCUGAUUCCCUGGGGACAAGAACCACACCCUCUUUUCACACUCAUGGUACUUAGGAGAUCUCUACAAAGCUGGGUGAUUUGAAGCUAAUUUAAUAAACAUUUGUUAAGCACCUGUGUACCCACCAGCUACGGUACCCUGAGAUCAGACCACUUAAAACCAAGCUUUCUGAGAAUUUACAGAAAGCAGUACUACAUCAGAUUCUGAAUUAAAUGGAGAAUGCUGGAUUGGUGUUGACAAAGCAAUAGAACAUUUUCUUUAAGAACAACAAGGGGAGAACACUGAUUCACUGGGGCACCCUCACAGGGACAGCAGAGAAAUUGAGAAUUAGCUGAAGAAAGGUGAAUUCUGUUUUGCCAGGGAGCAUGCCCCAUCCCUGCCGCCUCACCUGGGCCCCUAGUUGACCAGCACCUGUCUACUCACUGGACUUUGGAAGAGACUCUCAGGCGCCGCACACCUGCCGUCGGGAACUGCCUGGAGUUGAUGUAGGAGACCUUCUGGAGGGCACGAUUGAUGUUCCCAAUAUCGUCACCUUCCAUCACCAGGACGGACUGCGAGGGGUUGAAGUGGUACUAGAGGAGGAAAGGGGCAUCAUGGGGGAGAAUGAUCAGCGACGGAGCCCUCCACCUCCAUGGACCACAAAGGCCUGGUGUCUCCAGAGCGUCUGCAAGGGCAGCAGCCAUGAGCACAGAUGAGUGUUUUAACCCCUCAAACAAUUCCUGCUCCGCCCCGCCCCCCUGGCAGGGCUUCCAGGCCUCCCCUUUAAGACCUUUAGGGGUUAUAAACUCCAAAGCCAUAGCAUAAGAUUCUGGAUCCCCAUCACAGGUCUCUUGUGAUCUAGCCCUUGCAGGGUGGCCCAUGCUCUGUGCUGCUGUGGGGUCCUGACCAGCCUUUCAGCCCUUAGACAGACUGCCCCCUCAGCUGAGUGCCUGGAAACUUGGGGUUUUGCUCCUUUCACUGGUCUUGUCUUUGGCCUUGAACUCCUCCUCAGUUCACCCUGUGCUCCCCUUCCUGAUUCAUGGCCAUCUUCUUAGCUUCUGACCUUAAAGCUCAUUUUUUAGUUAACGGCUCUCCUUAUAUCUGAUUCCUGGUCUUUUUUUUCCUGGUGCUCCACUCUGCCUUCCCAAGAGUUUUGCUCACUUUCUGUUUACACUCUUGCCAGCUGUCCCAGGUCUGUUAUCUGUUCAUUUCACUCAGAGUCCCUGGUAUCCCAUACUUGGUGAAGGCCCCGGGGCUAUAAUGCUCUCCACCAAGUCACUUGAGUCCUCAAGACAGAUAAACCAGAUACAGACUUCUGCUUCUCUCUGCAAAGCCCGAGCAGUUACUCUUCUCCAAAUGGAGCACAGAGAACUGCUUUGGUGCUGGUCUGACUUACUGAUCUUCACAUGCUUCUGAGCAGGAAUUAUUAGGAACUGUUGUCAGUAAGAUGUCAGGAGCUUAUCAGUGCAUUCAGAUUAUGUAUCCAAAGUUCAUAUCAGAGGAACAGGAGAUCUGGUUAUCUAUCUAUCUGUCCAUCUAUCUAUCAUCUCUACACCCAACAUGGGGCUUGAACUCACAACCCUGAGAUCAGAGUCACAUGCUCUUCUGACUGAGCCACCCAGGCACCCCUGAUCUGGAUAUAUUUUUAUGCCAACAUUUUUUUGGAUAAUAUAUUCACAUAAUUCAAAUAUAUAUAUGUUCUAAGUGAAAGUGUCCAUCUUAUUCCUAUCUCUUACCCAGUUUCCAAUAUCCUGUCCCACAAGUAAUCAGUGUUCUAUUACUUUCUUAGUGGCAAAUUGCAUUAUUGUUCAUGAUUACCUGCUUCCCCUCCCAGUGGGAGGCUUAUACAUGCCUGACCUAUUGUCAGUAGACUUGAUUAUGUGACCUAUGGAACCAUUCCCUGCAAGACACACAUUUUUCCCUUUUGUAGUCAGUAGUGGUCAUGUGACUUGCUUGGCCAAUGAAGUGUGGGCAGAAGUAUUACUUGGUUCACACUCAUGUAGACGAUUUCACAGCUAGUUCAUGGUUUGCCAUGUCCCUUUCCCUCUGCCAUGAAACCUGCCAAGUUCCCUUAGGGUCUGGUCCAGCAGCCUGGUCUCACAGUGCUGGUGAUAUGGAUCUGAGCUGAAGCCAAUCUAUGUAAUGGACAUUAGGUGUGAACAAUGACAACAAAAAGUUGGAUAAGCCACUGAAAUGUUUAAGUCACUUGUUAGAGCAGCAUGACCUAGCCUACCCUGAAAGUUAUAUGUAAGCAUUCUUAGGAAUAUAGAUUUCCUUUUUUCUCCUUUCUUCAACCAAAAGUAGCUUUUUACAUACUUUAUCGUACUUUGUUUCUUCACUUAGCUCAAAUCUUGGAGAUCUUUCUGUAUCAGUACAUCAUAAACUUUUUUUUAUAGUUGUAUAAUAUUCUACUGUGUAAUUUUUUCAACCAGUUUGUUACAUUUGGAUUAUUGCCAUUCUUUUACUAAUAGUUCCACAAUGAAUAAUCUUGUACACAUUUCAUAUGUAUGCAAAUAUCUAUGUAUUGGAUAAAUCCCUCCAUGUGAAGUUAUUAGGUCCAACAGUCUAUGCACUUUUAAGUUUGGACAAAUGUUGCCUAAUUCCCCCUUGCUAGGGAUUAUAUAUGUCAACACAGGCUCCCUCUCCCAGCAUAUGGGAAUGCCUCUUUUCUCAAAACCUCAACAACAGAAUAUGCUGUCAUUUGAGAUUUUUGCCAGCCUGAUAGGUGAUAGAUGCUACCUUCAUGUAGUUUUAAUUUACCAUUUAGUGUAGGUUUAAUCUUACCAGGAAGGAGACGGAGUAUGUUUUCAGGGGAUUAAGGAAAAAUCCAUCUGUAUGAACUUUUCCCUGACUUGGAUGCCUUUUUAAGAGUUCCCUGUUCUGUGUCUGGAGGGUAAAACGAAGUAGAUGUCCCAUGAGCACUAUUGAUGAUACUGACCCGCAUACAGUCUUGCAGCGUGGCCCCUAGCCAAUCAAUAGCUUCCACUUUGCCUCCUUCAACUAUCAUUUGAGUAUUUUGUUACCUCCUCCUUGAGGCCACCCCAACUUCACUCAUUUACGUCCCCACUGGGCUCCUCUAGUGCUUUUCAAAUGGCAGUAUAAUUACUGUAGUACAGUGACCACGAGCUCACAGAAGACAAGGACUCCAACUCCUAUCCCUGAAUUCCAGAACCUAGCCCUAGUGCCCUAUAAUCCCAUCAGAUGAAUGAGUGAAUGUUCCCCCUUGGCCCACAUUCUACUCCUAUCACCUCCAGGUUACUCUCCAAAAGGACUUUUUUUCAGUCACUGUUUCCAUAGUCAUGGCUCUGUGGGAGUCAUCAGUGCUUGCUAAACCCUGUUCACCUCUGCAUCCUUGGCAUCCUGGAGGCUACACUUGCAAAGGCCUCCUGCUGUGUGUGGGAGGGCCACGUGACCACAUCUGGCCAAUGAGGUGUGAGAGGAAGUGAGGCGGGGCUUCCGGGCUGGGGUAGUCAAAGCCCCCUGGAAUGCUCUAGCCUUUUUCUUCCUCCCCUUUGGUGGCUCUGGCGUUGUAGGCGGAAGCCCCACACUGCCUCCCUGGCUUGAUGUCAGAGAAAAAUAAACUUUUAAGCAUUAAAACCAUAGGGAUUUUGGAGUUAUUUGCUACUGCAAUCGUUUUAAACCCAUUUGGAAAAAUUGAACUCCUCCCAGGCAGGAUUCUCGCUUACCUAAGUCUAUGUGGCAUCUUUGAAAGAUCAUGGGCUGUGCGGGUUGCAGUACCCCAGUUACAGUACAGACUACAGGAUACAACAACUUUGGACUACUUGCCCUUUCCAGAUUUUAUCUCCUCAUUUAAAGUAAUGGGGAUAUUAAUACCUGCCUGUCUGGGGCUUAAAUGAGAUAAUGUAUAUAAUGAAUCUAGUGUGUAAAGGGUGUUCAGUCCUAGAUAGCUUUUAUUAUAAUUCUUAACAUUGUAAUUAUUUCUGCCCUGAGUCUUGGCCCACACAGGUAUACCGCAGCCUUCACUACUCCUCUUAUCCUAUGAUCCAGUUCCCUUCUGCCCUCAGUGCCCUGAGCAGGGUCUCUCUGAUCUGGGAGAUCAGAGCACCAACCCCUCUGUUGGGUGUGGGAGCCCCGGAUAUAUGUGCAGGUGAUGAUGCCACAGUCAUCUUUUCAGUUGGCGUCUCCCUUGCUGUGGAUGACUCACUAGCUUAGUGUGCUCAGCCAUAGAGCUGCCCUGUUCUGAGUGUUUUGUAAGUCAUUCGGAGAUUCAAGUUCAUUCUUCUAAAAUACCACUUCUGUUCCCAUGUGUUUUUAUGCCCCCCUACCUCCCCACAACCCUGCCCUGCACCAUCCCUGCUAUAGCAGAGUCAUGGAGCUGUUGUUGUCUGUCUCCCCCAGCCAACUGUGAGCACCUCCAGGGCAGGGUCUAUAGACUUUUCCUCACUGUCACCACAGGGUCUAGCACACGAGACACAGGAGAUGGAAUAAUAAGCCCUGCAGAGGUGGCGGAUCUCUAAGCUUCACACAAGGGCUGAACAGGAACCUCAAACAGUUCUUCCAGAGGCUCUUAGCAGCAGCAUACUGUGGCAAUCAGCAGGGGGCACAUUCCCACCACAGCCACCUAAGGAGGGGAUGGGUUAGGCCAUGUGUUGGAUCUCCAAUUAAUACCCUAGUUUGGCUGCCUGACCAUCCCCAGAGCUGCCACAGGGCAUGAAGGUGGGCACUGGACUAGCAAUAAAUUUCGUGCAGGAUCAACAAAACCUUCUACCAAACUAGUUUUUUUAAAUUUUCUUAAUGUUUGUUUAUUUUUGAGAGAAAGAGAGAGACAGAGCGUGAGCAUGGGAGGGGCAGAGAGAGAGGGAGACACAGAAUCCGAAGCAGGCUCCAGGCUCUGAGCUGUCAGCACAGAGCCUGAAGCAGGGCUCAAACUUCCCAAAUGUGAGAUCGUGACCUGAGCCGAAGUUGGACGCUUAACCGACUGAGCCACCCAGGCGCCCAUGUUUUGUUUGCUUUAAAUUGUAGUGUUACUAAACAUAAAGAAUUAAAAAAAAAAUCAGGUUCUGUCUCUGUCUCUUUGCCCCUCCCCUGCUCUCUCUCUCUCUCUCUCUCUCUCAAAUAUAAAACAUAAAAAUUUAAAUUGCAGUGUUACCAACCCUGUGGCAUGACUGAGGUUAGGUCUCUGUGUAAGACACACAGUGGCAUUAGCAUUACACAGGGACAGGAGAUGGCUUCCUGGGAACCCAGCAAGAGGUGAUAGCAGCCACCUUCCUUUAGGAAGCUGUGCUGUGGCCAUGGUGAUUCCUUUCUUUGAGCUAAGAAACUACUAGACAUCCCCAAAGCUAUGGCCUUUGGGAAUAGUCAGUUCUCUUAGAGGGCCAGCCAAUAUCACCAGGCACCUAGCAGGCUGGGAGAUCAGUGAAAUUCCUGGCCAAAGCCUAGGUCUGUUCCUCCAGAGAAGGCUGGCCACGGCACUCCAGGCACCUAGCCAUUCACUUGGACGCCUGCCAGCUCCUCUGGGUUGGGCCAGAUGAAGAUUUGCCACAUUUGAGGCUCCUCUGCUACAAGUGUCACCUGGUUUACCUUUCAAAAGAAGCUGGGGCAGCAUCAAGGGCAAGUGCAAGACCAGCCCAGUUGGAGAAGACAACUGUGAUUUUAUUUAUUCGAUUUGCUAAGGAAGAUCUUUAUGUCUGUAUCUGUAUUUAUCAUCUUAUCUACACAUAUAUGUAUCUUUCUUUUUCUCUCUCCCUAUAUGUGUGUGUGUGUGUGUGUGUGUGUGUGUAUCUAUAUAUAACAUACAUAGAAUUCAGUUCCCACAACAUCACAACAAACUACACUUUAUACAUGAGGGAAUUGGAGUUUAAAGGAAUACAUGCCUUUGCCCAAGGUCACCCAGCUAGUAAAUAUUCGUACUACGAUUUGAACCUGGGAGUAACUUGUCCCAAAGUUUUUGCUCUUUCCCACUCUUCCACAUGGUAGAAAUGACAAAUUGGCAGGGAGUAUGUUAUGAAAAUCAGAACAGGGUGUUCUUCAGGAACGUGGCUAUUCCACAGUGUCAUGUAUGGGUACGAGACGGUAACCACCCCAGCCAUCUAAUGACUCCAGCCAGGCUGGACAAAUAUUCAGAAAUUGGCAUGAGCCGGGGGCAAACAAGUGGAAAGAGGACCCGGGCCAGUCCUGUGAGCAGACGGAAAGUUCUGUUAAUUAGAGACAGACCUCACUUCCUUUGACUAGCUAGGGAGGAGGGAAGAGGUGAGGCACAGGUAAAAGAGAACAACAGUAUUCAGGAAUGAAAUGAGGGAUCAAUGGAGGAAGGACAAGGAGGAAGGAAGUCUGAGUGAUUUUCAAGAAUGCCUUCUACUCUGAGUUGCUGGUAUGGAGGAAAGAGCACAGACUUCUUUUGGGCAAGUCCCUGAGUCCCAGUCUCCUUAUUUCUGAAAUGGGGCCAUAACAUUUAAUCUGUUGUGAGGAGUAGGGCUAAUGAACUUCGAAUAGCCCCCAGUGGGUACACCAUAAAUUGUGUGUCUUAUCAUUAACUUCCCCGCAGUGCUCUGCUUCUUGCCAGCUGUGCUCUAAGGAUGGAAAAGGAUCCUCUGCGGUGACUGCUUAUCAACAGGUGGCCUCCUAGAAAGUUGGAAGAGCCUCCCCACCCUCCAGGGUGGUGUGUGCCAUUUAGUUUACACCCCCUCUUUUCACAGCCUCUGGCUGCUCUGGAGAGACUGCCAUGCCUUUCCAUUUAUGAUCCUAAGAAUGUGUGGCUUUUCAGUCCAGUAUCUUUGGUUUAUGUGUUCUGUAGUGCCGGAAUCCUGAAACUAUGGUCUCACGGGAUGCUCCACAGCAGAGCGGAUGCAGCUCAGAGGCAGGGAGCAAACCCAGAAUCAGACAGAGAGGGGGGCGGUUGGAGGACAGAUUUCUGCAUCACUGGGCUGACAAAACGCUAAGGAAACAACACAAACAGUUGGUCAAGGAUCAAA
Molecule: long non-coding RNA, 9178 nt
Organism: Acinonyx jubatus (cheetah)
Lineage: Eukaryota; Metazoa; Chordata; Mammalia; Carnivora; Felidae
Exons: 2
Source: RefSeq, a predicted model, not a curated record